Long non-coding RNA from Drosophila albomicans, 690 nucleotides. RefSeq lists it as uncharacterized. The record is from RefSeq and is a predicted model, not a curated record. NCBI's taxonomy places the organism in Eukaryota, Metazoa, Arthropoda, Insecta, Diptera, Drosophilidae. The transcript has 3 exons.
AUAUCUAAAAUUGUCUUUGCCAUAGUUGUCUCCAUCUCGAAAAUUAAUAGCAGUCGUUUUUAAUUACAAGUGAAUUUUCACUAAUUAAAGUAACGCCUGUUCUAUAGAACCAAAGGAUAUCAAUGACUUCAAAAUAGAUGAAACAAAGAGCAAAAAUUAUUCACGCAACAUAAUUAAAACAGAAUGCGACAGAAAAGGGUUGAGGUUUAAGCUUUGACAUGGUGUAACCACAGGCAACCGCAAUGCGGCAAAGGCAAAGUGUUGUCAUUUGUUUUGGGUAUUUGCAAACAGCGGGGCAGGAUUUAAUUACACACAAUUACCGGAUACCACAAGGCGAUCCAUUUACACUUAAGCUCCACUGGGCACAGCCGAUGUCGCUUUCAAGGCAACAGACAUUUUAACGAAUUUUAUGCAAAUUGAAAACGGAAACACUUUGAAAUCGCGACUCAGCUGUCUCCCUUGGGUAGUAGAGAGUCGCACGACCUGAGCUAUGGAUUUUUGAUGCUCCCGUUCAACUCUUUCGCCGGAUGAAAGUGGAUCCGGUAUGGCAGGAUUAUUGGGGAGGGAGAGAGUAGCAGCUUGUCGCGUCGUUUCGUGUUAGUUGAGUUAUUAUUGUAUGCUGAGACUGAGUGCUUUGUUAAUAUUGGAUUGCUUUGCAGUUACAGAAGUUCAUUGGGACCACUCUGCGAG